CUGUCACACGUGUACAUUAUCUGAACUAGUGGAUGUUUAUGAGGAAAGUAUUACCUUUAAGACUAUCCAUCUAAAGCAUUUUCUUCCCCCUCCUUAAAAGAUAAAACAGAUACACAGGCCAAGAGAUGAUUGCAAAAGACACAGUAGUUGCAAAACUCCAGUGUCAUGACCUUGAUGAACCUCCUGAUACAAUACAUUAUGCUCUGAGCUUGCGGCCAAUUGGUUCUGGAAAACUCUUUGAGCAAGUGCCAACUGCUGGAAAUUUCAUCCAGGUUGUAAAAGAAUUGGAUUAUGAGGACCCAGACAUAGUUCCAGCUGGCCAUAUCUAUGAAAUGACAAUUUCAGUAUUUGAUGACUUACAUCCCUUCCGUACAGGUAAGCUUGAUAAAUUUCAUGGAACAUUAAGUGUCUUUUCUUUAGACUGUGCACUUUAGAUUUUAAAAUGUAAAACUUCAUUAUAUUGGGGACAGUUUCGUUAAACUAGACAAAGGAGAAAGGGGAGACUUAGAUUCAUGUUGGAAGUUAUCAUUAGGUCUGCGAGUGUUGUUCAUCUCUUAGCACACCUUAUGCAAAACACAAUUCUUAAAUGCAAGUCUGGCUAGAGAUCCUUGGAGCUGGAAGUGGGAUGUGUUAGGGACACAGAGAGCCCAAUCCUAAUGCUUGUUACUGAAACGAUUUUCUGUCAGUAGUGUCUCCACUUCAGACUGGGGGACUUACACGUAACAGAAAAUUUUUUCUCACUCUUCUGGAGCCUGGCAAGUCCAUAUCAAGGCACUGUCAGACUUGAUGUCUAUAGAGGGUCUGCAUCCUGCUCUUAGAUGUUUGUCUUCUCACCGUGACUUCACAUGGAAGAAUAGGCAAGAGGCACUCUCUGGGGUGUCUUUUUAAGAGCAUUAAUCCCAUCAUGAGGGUUCCACCCUUAUGACAUGUCAUCAUACCAAAGACCCUCUCCAUCCUAAUACCAUCACAGCGGGAGAAUAGGUUUUAGUAUAUAAAUUUUGGAGGAACAUAAACAUUCAGUUCAUAGCAUUUAGUAAUGCCAAAUACCUCUUAUUUGGAAAGAGCCAGAUAUUGGGUCACGUGUAGUCCACACAUAUGAGUAAUAGGAUUUUUUUUGGGGGGGGGAGUUGCCUGUAUCAUUAUUUUACGUGAUACAGGUAGAGCCAUUUUUAAUGCAAACGGUGGGACAGUGCCAGAUUCCACAGCUCAUUCCCUUUGUGAGUCCCUUGACAUUUGUGGAUUUAAGAGUCCUGGUUUUGCUAAUUGUAAAACACCCUCGGGCACAGAUUUAAAUUGUGUGCUGUGGAGCCAGAGCAGAGUGCCUAGCUGGUGAAAUAAGCUUAGCCAAUCACCAGACACCUGCUUCUCUGCUAAUUGUUGUACAAAUGAGAACAUGCAUUAAGUGGCUCAAUAGGUCAUUUAUGUGUUCAACAACAUGUUAUCACAUUUAAGAGUGAAUUAGUAUCUGUAGAGGUAGUUGUGAAAAUAAGGUUGCACAAAUUUCCAGAUAUGUCUAUUAUUAAUGACAGCCGUCUAUUUUAUAUGGAAAGUAUGGUAAUAAGUGAUCUAGGAGGUGGGUUGGCAUCAAAGAUGUCCAAAAAGAAGUGAGUGUUUGGGUGGAGAACACAGGGUUACUAGUAGAAUGAGAGCCUGGAACAUGGACAGUGCUUGUGUUUCAUGUUUUAUGUCUUGUGCCAUCUCUAAGCAAUUGGUGGUGGUCGCCUGGAUCAUUGAAUUGAGAAGGAUUCUGAGGUUGCCUCUGAAAGCAGUGCAAAGAGCACUGUGUUAUGGAAUUAAGCAGGUGGCAUCAUGGCAGCAUCCAUAUGUUUUGCAACCAAAAAAAAUUUAUUGCUGAACGUUCAGCAACAGGUCUAGAGCUCUUUUAAUCCCUCUUGACUCUCUGAUGUAAGAGUUUUAAUAGGAUUCCUUUUACAAAUGUCAUUUGUAGACUUACGUGAUCCAACUAUGCAGAUAAAUGAUCUGUACAGGACAGAGACACAGCAUGACAGUAUGCCCACAAGUUUUCUUAGGUCUUCUCUGCUCCCCACUGGUGGAGUUUCAUUGGUUCAUGCAAAAGCCUGUAACAUAGCCCAACAAACCUUUUAGGAAAAAUGCUUUUUCUUGUAGUUACUCAUCCUGAUGGCCUCACAAAUCAAAAUAGAAUCUGCCCUUUUCACCAGAGUUGAGCCUUUUUCCAAGAAGAAGAGAAAAAAAAAAAUCUCUCAUGGUAAUAAAUCCACAUCUUCUCUGGUCCCCA
Molecule: long non-coding RNA, 2257 nt
Organism: Bos indicus x Bos taurus (hybrid cattle)
Lineage: Eukaryota; Metazoa; Chordata; Mammalia; Artiodactyla; Bovidae
Source: Ensembl